UAUGUGAUCGUCUCUCGCAUAUCAAUAAGCGGAGGAAAAGAAACUAACAAGGAUUCCCCUAGUAACGGCGAGUGAAGCGGGAAGAGCUCAAAUUUGAAAUCUUAAAGGGUUUCCCUUUACGAAUUGUAGUUUAAAGAAGUGUUUUCUGUUGAGGUUUUGGUAAAAGUUCUUUGGAAUAGGACAUCAUAGAGGGUGAGAAUCCCGUAUUUGACCUUUACUUUCAACUUUGUGAUACACUUUCAAAGAGUCGGAUUGUUUGGGAAUGCAGUCCAAAAUGGGUGGUAAAUUUCAUCUAAAGCUAAAUAUUGGCGAGAGACCGAUAGCGAACAAGUACCGUGAGGGAAAGAUGAAAAGAACUUUGAAAAGAGAGUUAAACAGUACGUGAAAUUGUCAAAAGGGAAGCGUUUGACACCAGUGUUGUUUUUCUGAAAAUCAAUUAAAGAACUGUUUAUGCUAAGUUGUUUAGACUUUAUCAGCUAUCUGUUUAGUUUUGAGCUUUUCUUUAAUGCACUUUUCAGUUAACAAGUCAACAUCAAUUUCUUUUGCUGUAAAAAAGCUUGAGGAAGGUGGCUUGAGAUUCGUCUUAAGUGUUUAUAGCCUCUUGCCUAUGCAGUCGGAGAGAUUGAGGUCUGCAGCGUAGAUCCUUCGGGGCUAAAUGCAUUUGUGCUAAGUUAUAGCAUUUUAUAGACAACUUGUUGACUAUGAUUUGUCUUGUAGCUUACUCGCUUAUGUUAUUUUACCUACGCUUAGGAUGUUGAUAUGCAUGACUGAUAU
RNAcentral lists this ribosomal RNA (774 nucleotides) under uncultured Neocallimastigales. RNAcentral's name for it is "partial large subunit ribosomal RNA". It matches the Rfam family "Eukaryotic large subunit ribosomal RNA", at positions 24 to 636 of the family's 3401-position model. Lineage: Eukaryota; Fungi; Neocallimastigomycota; Neocallimastigomycetes; Neocallimastigales. The record is from RNAcentral.